GAACGGGUGAGUAACACGUGGGAAACCUACCUCUUAGCAGGGGAUAACAUUUGGAAACAGAUGCUAAUACCGUAUAACAAUGACAACCGCAUGGUUGUUAUUUAAAAGAUGGUUCUGCUAUCACUAAGAGAUGGUCCCGCGGUGCAUUAGCUAGUUGGUAAGGUAAUGGCUUACCAAGGCGAUGAUGCAUAGCCGAGUUGAGAGACUGAUCGGCCACAAUGGGACUGAGACACGGCCCAUACUCCUACGGGAGGCAGCAGUAGGGAAUCUUCCACAAUGGGCGAAAGCCUGAUGGAGCAACGCCGCGUGUGUGAUGAAGGGUUUCGGCUCGUAAAACACUGUUGUAAGAGAAGAAUGACAUUGAGAGUAACUGUUCAAUGUGUGACGGUAUCUUACCAGAAAGGAACGGCUAAAUACGUGCCAGCAGCCGCGGUAAUACGUAUGUUCCAAGCGUUAUCCGGAUUUAUUGGGCGUAAAGCGAGCGCAGACGGUUAUUUAAGUCUGAAGUGAAAGCCCUCAGCUCAACUGAGGAAUUGCUUUGGAAACUGGAUGACUUGAGUGCAGUAGAGGAAAGUGGAACUCCAUGUGUAGCGGUGAAAUGCGUAGAUAUAUGGAAGAACACCAGUGGCGAAGGCGGCUUUCUGGACUGUAACUGACGUUGAGGCUCGAAAGUGUGGGUAGCAAACAGGAUUAGAUACCCUGGUAGUCCACACCGUAAACGAUGAGUGCUAGGUGUUUGAGGGUUUCCGCCCUUAAGUGCCGCAG
RNAcentral lists this ribosomal RNA (765 nucleotides) under uncultured Weissella sp. RNAcentral's name for it is "bacterial SSU rRNA". It matches the Rfam family "Bacterial small subunit ribosomal RNA", at positions 100 to 851 of the family's 1533-position model. Lineage: Bacteria; Bacillati; Bacillota; Bacilli; Lactobacillales; Lactobacillaceae. The record is from RNAcentral.